AGGAUAUUCCCAGGAGGGCACAACAGGAAGCAAUUAGCUUGCCCUGCCAGGUGAUCGGCACCAUAUCUCCAUAGCCCACCGUGCAGAGUGUGAUCUGAAAUCGAAAGUAUGGGCUAGUACUGGGAUUAUUGGAUGGGACCAGGAAUGAUGCAAAGAUUAGACCUAAGAACCCUAUGUACAUGGUUGUGAUCAGCUCCUGCAAGUCAAAAUAUAUAUUUAGGUAAUUGAAGUGCACUUGUCAUCCCGAUAACGAUAAAGAAGUGAUCUUAUUGAUAUACGUUCAAGGUGCAAACUUGGAAAGUUGGCUUACCUGUCUAUGUGCGUAUACAACCGAACCGAGCAG
Drosophila teissieri is the source of this 343-nucleotide long non-coding RNA. RefSeq lists it as uncharacterized. The transcript is spliced from 3 exons. The record is from RefSeq and is a predicted model, not a curated record. Lineage: Eukaryota; Metazoa; Arthropoda; Insecta; Diptera; Drosophilidae.